This 88-nucleotide transfer RNA is filed under the name Bacteroidaceae bacterium. RNAcentral's name for it is "tRNA-Ser". It matches the Rfam family "tRNA". From Rfam's summary of the family: Transfer RNA (tRNA) molecules are approximately 80 nucleotides in length. Their secondary structure includes four short double-helical elements and three loops (D, anti-codon, and T loops). The record is from RNAcentral. RNAcentral also lists the same sequence under 1 other name. Lineage: Bacteria; Pseudomonadati; Bacteroidota; Bacteroidia; Bacteroidales; Bacteroidaceae.
GGAGAGAUGCUCGAGUGGCUGAAGAGGCACGCCUGGAAAGCGUGUAUGCGUCAAAAGCGCAUCCGGGGUUCGAAUCCCCGUCUCUCCG